AGAGUUAAACAGUACGUGAAAUUGUUGAAAGGGAAACGAUUAAAGUCAGUCGUACUGACGGGGAAUCAACUUCUCGAGUGUUGAUCGGUGGGAUCAAAGUGCCUUUGUUCUCGCUGCAUCCGCAUUCUUCUGGUGCACUUCCUCGUAUUGUAGGUUAGCAUCGGUUUCGAUCGUCAUAAAAUGAUUGGAGGAAUGUGGCUUCGACCUCGGUUGAAGUGUUAUAGACUCUGGUAGAUGUGAUGAUCGAGACCGAGGAUUGCAACGGAUACCCUUAAGGGCUAUGCGCCUGGCCUCUGAUUGUCGCCUUGGUGUCGAAAGCUUGCUUUCGUCGUUAAGGUGCGCGAUCAACAGGUUAGAACGGAUUAAAUUCGUUAAGGAUGCUGACGUAAUGGCUUUAAACGA
Molecule: unclassified non-coding RNA, 402 nt
Filed under: uncultured Glomeromycotina
Lineage: Eukaryota; Fungi; Glomeromycota
Description: sequence contains 28S rRNA gene
Source: RNAcentral